RNAcentral lists this ribosomal RNA (609 nucleotides) under uncultured Gammaproteobacteria bacterium. RNAcentral describes it as "partial 16S ribosomal RNA". It matches the Rfam family "Bacterial small subunit ribosomal RNA", at positions 1 to 887 of the family's 1533-position model. The record is from RNAcentral. Lineage: Bacteria; Pseudomonadati; Pseudomonadota; Gammaproteobacteria.
GCGGCCGCGGGAAUUCGAUUAGAGUUUGAUCAUGGCUCAGAUUGAACGCUGGCGGCAUGCCUAACACAUGCAAGUCGAACGGCAGCACAGUAAAGAUUUCGGUCUUUAUGGGGUGGCGAGUGGCGGACGGGUGAGUAACACGUAGGAAUCUGUCCUGGAGCGUGGGAUAACCCGAGGAAACUCGGGCUAAUACCACAUGAUAUCGAGAGAUCAAAAGCAGGGGACCGAAAGGCCUUGCGCUCUGGGGUGAGCCUACGUCGGAUUAGCUAGUUGGUGGGGUAAAAGCCUACCAAGGCGACGAUCCGUAGCUGGUCUGAGAGGAUGACCAGCCACACUGGGACUGAGACACGGCCCAGACUCCUACGGGAGGCAGCAGUGGGGAAUCUUGGACAAUGGGGGAAACCCUGAUCCAGCGAUGCCGCGUGUGUGAAGAAGGCCUUCGGGUUGUAAAGCACUUUAGGUGGGGAAGAAAGGUAACGAGCGAAUAACUCGUUGCUAUGACGGUACCCGCAGAAUAAGCACCGGCUAACUCUGUGCCAGCAGCCGCGGUAAUACGAAUCACUAGUGAAUUCGCGGCCGCCUGCAGGUCGACCAUAUGGGAGAGCUCCC